GUGCUUGCUUCAGCAGCACAUGUACUAAAAUUAGAACGAUACAGAGAAAAUUAGCAUGGCCCCUGAGCAAGGAUGACAUGCAAAUUCACGAAGCAUUCCAUAUUUUU
RNAcentral lists this small nuclear RNA (107 nucleotides) under Myotis brandtii (Brandt's bat). The record is from RNAcentral. Lineage: Eukaryota; Metazoa; Chordata; Mammalia; Chiroptera; Vespertilionidae.